Molecule: ribosomal RNA, 253 nt
Filed under: uncultured bacterium
Lineage: Bacteria
Description: partial 16S ribosomal RNA
Rfam family: Bacterial small subunit ribosomal RNA
Source: RNAcentral
GACAGAGGGUGCAAGCGUUGUUCGGAAUUACUGGGCGUAAAGCGUGCGCAGGCGGUUGUGCAAGACAGAUGUGAAAUCCCCGGGCUCAACCUGGGAACUGCAUUUGUGACUGCACGGCUAGAGUGCGGCAGAGGGAGAUGGAAUUCCGCGUGUAGCAGUGAAAUGCGUAGAUAUGCGGAGGAACACCGAUGGCGAAGGCAAUCUCCUGGGCCUGCACUGACGCUCAUGCACGAAAGCGUGGGGAGCAAACGGG